RNAcentral lists this ribosomal RNA (433 nucleotides) under uncultured bacterium. RNAcentral describes it as "partial 16S ribosomal RNA". It matches the Rfam family "Bacterial small subunit ribosomal RNA", at positions 29 to 507 of the family's 1533-position model. The record is from RNAcentral.
AACGAACGCUGGCGGCAUGCCUAACACAUGCAAGUCGAACGAGACCUUCGGGUCUGGUUGCGCACGGGUGCGUCACGCGUGGGAACCUGCCGGUAGGCUCGGAAUAACUCCCCGAAAGGGGUGCUAAUGCCGGAUAAUGUCUUCGGACCAAAGAUUUAUCGACCUUGGAUGGGCACGCGUUGGAUUAGCUAGUUGGUAGGGUAAAAGCCUACCAAGGCGACGAUACAUAGCUGGUCUGAGAGGAAGAGCAGCCACACUGGGACUGAGACCCGGCGCAGACUCCUACGGGAGGCAGCAGUGGGUGAUAUUGGACUACGGGCGAAAGCCUGAUCCAGCACGGCCUCGUGAGUGAUGAAGUUCUGAGGGUUGUAAAGCUCUUUUACCCGGGACUAUAAUGACAGUACCGGGAGAAUAAGCACCGGCUAACUUCGUG